Labrus bergylta (ballan wrasse) is the source of this 891-nucleotide non-coding RNA. The record is from RefSeq and is a predicted model, not a curated record. NCBI's taxonomy places the organism in Eukaryota, Metazoa, Chordata, Actinopteri, Labriformes, Labridae.
UCGAUUGCACUGAAGCCCCCUUUUGGAGCCUGCAUGGGCACUUAUACGCACAAAACAGAAGCAGGCCAUCUAUAUCCCCUUUAAUAUUAAGCUCCAUCAAUGCUAAUAAUGGCAUCAUGGCUGUAUUGAUAGGUUCUCACAUAAAGGCUCCAUUUAUGGUUAUUUUCUGAUGGUCGAAAUUAAUUAUUCACAGGUUAGGAUGAAGGUAGACACACGCUCAGAGAGAGAGGGGCUGUGGCUACUGUUGGAGGGUCAAUAAACUCUCCCAACAAACAAAAUGCCAAACAGAGUGGAUAGGGGGGCUCGAUUAGAGAAAUUUCAGGAGUUUUUUUUUACGGUAAAGAUUUAAUAAAUGAAACCGUGACAACAGUUAUGUUUGUUGGCAUAAAGGGGGGGUGGGAAGUGUGGGACUGCAGGGUUUGACAAACGGCUGUGUGGACAUUUCAACGUGCAAUACCCCGGGAAGGAGCUGCAGAGCUGUGCGCAGAGAGCCCAGGCACCCACCGUCUCCAAGUCUCUCUUUUACACUCUGUAAACACUGCAGACUCUGCUAUUGAAGACUCAUAUUUUCAUAAGCUAAAUACUAUCGUUCACAUUGAUUUGUGCGCUUGACUUUUUUUUUUCCACCCCUCCUCCAUAUGGACAAGCACGACCUUUGACACCUUCGACACAAGCAAGUGGAAGGUGAUCUGGAUGAACAAUGUCAUCGCUCUGGAAACAAAACAGCCCGACGAGAGAGAAAGCUCAUUUCUGCUCCGGAGCAGACAAGCUGCGUCCUGGGAUUUCGGGCGGGGAGCACACAGAAGAGUACCUGUAAUUUGACUUGCCACGUCUAAAUGGAAGUUGAAUGGGUAACAUUGUGCAACAACAAAUAAAAUGCUCACAAUGCUU